RNAcentral lists this ribosomal RNA (396 nucleotides) under uncultured Bicosoecida. Its description in RNAcentral is "partial small subunit ribosomal RNA". It matches the Rfam family "Eukaryotic small subunit ribosomal RNA", at positions 30 to 432 of the family's 1831-position model. Lineage: Eukaryota; Bigyra; Bicosoecida. The record is from RNAcentral.
GCUUGUCUCAAAGAUUAAGCCAUGCAUGUCUAAGUAUAAACAAAUCUAUACUGUGAAACUGCGAAUGGCUCAUUAUAUCAGUUAUAGUUUAUUUGAUAGUCCCCACUACUUGGAUAACCGUAGUAAUUCUAGAGCUAAUACAUGCGUCAAGUCCGGACCGCGCGAGCGGGAAGGAUGUGUUUAUUAGAUACAACCAACCCUUCGGGUUCCUGGUGAGUCAUAAUAACCGAACGAACCGUAUGCGCAAGCGACGGUGGUUCAUUCAAGUUUCUGCCCUAUCAGCUUUCGAUGGUAGGGUAUUGGCCUACCAUGGCGUUAACGGGUAACGGAGAAUUAGGGUUCGAUUCCGGAGAGGGAGCCUGAGAGAUGGCUACCACAUCCAAGGAAGGCAGCAGG